RNAcentral lists this non-coding RNA (29 nucleotides) under Mus musculus (house mouse). The record is from RNAcentral. Lineage: Eukaryota; Metazoa; Chordata; Mammalia; Rodentia; Muridae.
UAGCCUAGAACUGGCGAUGAUUCUUCUGC